Molecule: ribosomal RNA, 692 nt
Filed under: Escherichia coli
Lineage: Bacteria; Pseudomonadati; Pseudomonadota; Gammaproteobacteria; Enterobacterales; Enterobacteriaceae
Also listed under: 1 other name
Description: bacterial SSU rRNA
Rfam family: Bacterial small subunit ribosomal RNA
Source: RNAcentral
GAGGCGUGGCUUCCGGAGCUAACGCGUUAAGUCGACCGCCUGGGGAGUACGGCCGCAAGGUUAAAACUCAAAUGAAUUGACGGGGGCCCGCACAAGCGGUGGAGCAUGUGGUUUAAUUCGAUGCAACGCGAAGAACCUUACCUGGUCUUGACAUCCACGGAAGUUUUCAGAGAUGAGAAUGUGCCUUCGGGAACCGUGAGACAGGUGCUGCAUGGCUGUCGUCAGCUCGUGUUGUGAAAUGUUGGGUUAAGUCCCGCAACGAGCGCAACCCUUAUCCUUUGUUGCCAGCGGUCCGGCCGGGAACUCAAAGGAGACUGCCAGUGAUAAACUGGAGGAAGGUGGGGAUGACGUCAAGUCAUCAUGGCCCUUACGACCAGGGCUACACACGUGCUACAAUGGCGCAUACAAAGAGAAGCGACCUCGCGAGAGCAAGCGGACCUCAUAAAGUGCGUCGUAGUCCGGAUUGGAGUCUGCAACUCGACUCCAUGAAGUCGGAAUCGCUAGUAAUCGUGGAUCAGAAUGCCACGGUGAAUACGUUCCCGGGCCUUGUACACACCGCCCGUCACACCAUGGGAGUGGGUUGCAAAAGAAGUAGGUAGCUUAACCUUCGGGAGGGCGCUUACCACUUUGUGAUUCAUGACUGGGGUGAAGUCGUAACAAGGUAACCGUAGGGGAACCUGCGGUUGGAUCAC